GUAAAAUACCUGUUGAGCAGAAGAAAAUGGCGGAGGAAGUGGAAUCAUCAGAAUCAGGAUCCGGCAACUUGUUCAACAAAAUCAUAGCACUUGCCGCCGGCGAAGCUCAUACUCUUGCUCUAACUGCAAAUGGGGAUGUGUAUUCUUGGGGAAGAGGAACAUUCGGUCGACUUGGUACUGCUUCUGAAACUGACCACUUAUUCCCGGCCCGAAUCAACUUUGAUUCUGAUGGAGAUAAAAGGGUAAAGAUUGUUGCUAUUGCAGCUGGUGCUUAUCACAGUCUUGCCGUUUCAGAUGAUGGAUCAGUAUGGGGCUGGGGAUACAAUGUCUAUGGACAACUUGGUUUUGACGGAGAAAAUUCCUUGGUUCCUCAUUUAUUGGAGGGAUUCCUUGAGUUAGGUUCCCCUAAUUCAUCAGCUAGUGGCUCAGAGAGAAAGAAACUGAUGAUUUCCUCGGUUAAAGGUGGUGGAAUGAUGUCAGCAGCAAUUGAUGAUCUUGGAUCUCUAUGGAUGUGGGGUAAUUUUCCUGAACCACAGAAAGGCAAGUCUAUGGAGAGUGAAUUCUCUCUUACUAGCAAUUGCAACCCAAUACCUAUCUGGAAUUUCCAUGGACACACAGUUGUUAAGGUGGCAUGUGGAAAUGAGCAU
This 647-nucleotide unclassified non-coding RNA is filed under the name Hevea brasiliensis (rubber tree). The record is from RNAcentral. Lineage: Eukaryota; Viridiplantae; Streptophyta; Magnoliopsida; Malpighiales; Euphorbiaceae.